CCAGACAGAGCCCAGCCACUGACCAGCCAAAUCCAGCCAGAGCCCAGCCAGAGCCCAGCCAGAGCCCAGCCAGAGCCCAGACAGAGCCCAGCCACUGACCAGCCAAACCCAGCCAGAGCCCAGCCAGAGCCCAGACAGAGCCCAGACAGAGCCCAGCCACUGACCAGCCAAACCCAGCCAGAGCCCAGCCAGAGCCCAGCCACUGCCCAGACAGAGUCCAGCCACUGACCAGCCAAACCCAGCCAGAGUUCAGACACUGCCCAGCCACUGCCCAGCCACUGCCCAGACAGAGCCCAGCCACUGACCAGCCAAACCCAGCCAGAGCCCAGCCAGAGCCCAGCCAGAGCCCAGACAGAAACCAGCCACUGACCAGCCAAACCCAGCCAGAGCCCAGCCAGAGCCCAGCCACUGACCAGACAGAGUCCAGCCACUGACCAGACACUGCCCAGCCCAUGCCCAGCCCAAGCCCAGUCCAAGCCCAGUCCAAGCCCAGUUCAUGCCCAGCCACUGCCCAGCCCAAGCCCAGCCAAAGUCCAGACCAUGCCCAGCCAAUUCCCAACCCAUGCCCAGCCCAUGCCCAGCCCAAGCCCAACCAAAGCUCAGCCAAAGCCCAGUUCAUGCCCAGCCCAAGCCCAGCCAAAGCCCAGCCCAUGCCCAGCCCAAGCCCAGUCCAAGCCCAGUUCAUGCCCAGCCACUGCCCAGCUCAUGCCCAGCCAAAGCCCAGCCAAAGUCCAGACCAUGCCCAGCCAAUUCCCAAGCCAUGCCCAGCUCAUGCCCAGCCAAAGCCCAGCCCAAGCCCAGCCACUGCCCAGCCCAUGCCCAGCCCAAGCCCAGUCCAAGCCCAGUUCAUGCCCAGCCACUGCCCAGCCCAUGCCCAGCCCAAGCCCAGCCCAAGCCCAGCUCAUGCCCAGCUCAUGCCCAGCCAAAGCCCAGCCCAAGCCCAGCUCAUGCCCAGCCAAAGCCCAGCUCAUGCCCAGCUCAGGCCCAGCCAAAGCCCAGCCCAUGCCCAGCCAAAGCUCACCUCAUGCCCAGCCCAUGCCCGGCCAGUGCCCAGCCCAGCUCUGCUGUCCCUCCAGGGUGUCCCCUCCUGAUCACAGCCACCCCAGGGCUGGGGGGCUCCCAGGAAAGCUCCAGGGCUCCUUCUGCUCCUCCUUUGGGAAGAGCUUGGUGGCUCUGAGGGGUCGAGGGCACGGAGAGUUUUGGGUACCUCUGUGCCAGCCCAAGCAGGACCAGAGCAGCCAGGGCAUUCCUGGCUUUGCCUCAUUUUAAUGGAAUUCCUUCUGACUGGGGGAGUCACACGGGGCUUUUCUCACCCACUCAGUGAAAACUGAUGUGUUGGAACAGGAUGGCAGCUCCUGCAGAGCCUGACCCAGGACUGGGAUCUUCAACCAACAGGUUCAUCAGAUGCUGAAGCCAGCCUUGGAAGCACCUUUCGUUCAGCUGAGGGUGUUGAGCUCCAUUUCUUCUAUGAAUGUGCAGCUUUUGGGGAAGGUGGCGUGGCCUUGAGCAGAGGAAAACCUGGCAGAAAUAUGGGAACCUCCACCUGCUGGUGCAUCCCAAGGAGCCAAAAUGAAUCCAAGGUGAAUGAAGAGUUAUUUUUUAAACCAAACCCCCCUUUUCAUCCUCCAGGUUUCCAGUAAAACCAACCCCUUGCCUCACACAAACCUAUUGGAAAUGCAUUUCUGUGCUGUAGCACACGAGGAAGCGUUUCCCUGCCAAGUCCCAGGUUCCAAAGCAUUUUGGCACCUCCAGAAAACAAACAGCCUUGGGAUUGCUUUUAUUUGGGGAGUGCAGAUUGCAGCAGGAGCCCUGAUCUGAGCAUGGCUAAGGCUGCUGCCCAGGGCUGGGCUGAAUUCCAGCUGCUGCUGAAGCUGGGGGUGUCCCUGCAGGAGAGCUGGAGGACAAACAGCACUGGGGGAAUGUGGGUGUCUGAGAAACUGAAAUGAGAGGUGGUUUGUGUGCUGGAAAAUUAUUCCAUGGAUUCAGAUUGAAAAAAACCCCAAACACAGAAAAUCCUUAUUUUUUGAGCAGCCUGAUCCUUUCCAAUCCUGGAAUUCUCUGAUAUGAGCAACCCUGAAGCCAGGAGUCCUGAAGGAAAAAUAUCACUUUGGGAAUGUGAGUGUCUGAGAAACUGAAAUGAGAGGUGGUUUGUGUGUUGGAAAAUCAUUCCAUGGAUUGGGUUUUUUUAAAAACACACAGAAAAUCCUUAAUUUUUGAGCAGCCUGAUCCUUUCCAAUCCUGGGAUUCUCUGAUAUUAUUCUAUGAUAAGCCUGGAGAGGUGAAGGAAAAAUAUCACUUUGGGAAUAUGGUUUUUACAGGAGCUUUUCUCUAAAAAGCAUCAACAAUCUGAGCCUCUUACAGAGAAGCUGGCCAUCCUGAUAUUUCCAAGGAUAGCAGAGAUUGUCCUGCACAGCAGAACAAAAGAGAAUGACAUGGUUGCAACACUGAACAAGAAUUACUUCUGGGUAAUGCUGAGAAAGGAGAUAAGAAAUCAGAAUUUACAGAAAGAGGCGGGAAGUGAGAUAACAGCUUUACUGCUUGCAAUCAAAAAUUGUAAUCGACCCUACAAUAAAUACA
Serinus canaria (Common canary) is the source of this 2577-nucleotide long non-coding RNA. RefSeq lists it as uncharacterized. The record is from RefSeq and is a predicted model, not a curated record. NCBI's taxonomy places the organism in Eukaryota, Metazoa, Chordata, Aves, Passeriformes, Fringillidae. The transcript has 3 exons.